AUUGAACGCUGGCGGCAGGCCUAACACAUGCAAGUCGAACGGUAACAGAAAGCAGCUUGCUGCUUUGCUGACGAGUGGCGGACGGGUGAGUAAUGUCUGGGAAACUGCCUGAUGGAGGGGGAUAACUACUGGAAACGGUAGCUAAUACCGCAUAACGUCGCAAGCCCAAAGAGGGGGACCUUCGGGCCUCUUGCCAUCGGAUGUGCCCAGAUGGGAUUAGCUAGUAGGUGGGGUAACGGCUCACCUAGGCGACGAUCCCUAGCUGGUCUGAGAGGAUGACCAGCCACACUGGAACUGAGACACGGUCCAGACUCCUACGGGAGGCAGCAGUGGGGAAUAUUGCACAAAGGGCGCAAGCCUGAUGCAGCCAUGCCGCGUGUAUGAAGAAGGCCUUCGGGUUGUAAAGUACUUUCAGCGGGGAGGAAGGGAGUAAAGUUAAUACCUUUGCUCAUUGACGUUACCCGCAGAAGAAGCACCGGCUAACUCCGUG
RNAcentral lists this ribosomal RNA (490 nucleotides) under uncultured bacterium. RNAcentral's name for it is "partial 16S ribosomal RNA". It matches the Rfam family "Bacterial small subunit ribosomal RNA", at positions 30 to 507 of the family's 1533-position model. The record is from RNAcentral.